This 1486-nucleotide ribosomal RNA is filed under the name metagenome. RNAcentral's name for it is "bacterial SSU rRNA". It matches the Rfam family "Bacterial small subunit ribosomal RNA". The record is from RNAcentral.
AGAGUUUGAUCCUGGCUCAGGAUGAACGCUAGCUACAGGCUUAACACAUGCAAGUCGAGGGGCAGCAUGGUCUUAGCUUGCUAAGGCCGAUGGCGACCGGCGCACGGGUGAGUAACACGUAUCCAACCUGCCGUCUACUCUUGGACAGCCUUCUGAAAGGAAGAUUAAUACAAGAUGGCAUCAUGAGUCCGCAUGUUCACAUGAUUAAAGGUAUUCCGGUAGACGAUGGGGAUGCGUUCCAUUAGAUAGUAGGCGGGGUAACGGCCCACCUAGUCUUCGAUGGAUAGGGGUUCUGAGAGGAAGGUCCCCCACAUUGGAACUGAGACACGGUCCAAACUCCUACGGGAGGCAGCAGUGAGGAAUAUUGGUCAAUGGGCGAGAGCCUGAACCAGCCAAGUAGCGUGAAGGAUGACUGCCCUAUGGGUUGUAAACUUCUUUUAUAAAGGAAUAAAGUCGGGUAUGCAUACCCGUUUGCAUGUACUUUAUGAAUAAGGAUCGGCUAACUCCGUGCCAGCAGCCGCGGUAAUACGGAGGAUCCGAGCGUUAUCCGGAUUUAUUGGGUUUAAAGGGAGCGUAGAUGGAUGUUUAAGUCAGUUGUGAAAGUUUGCGGCUCAACCGUAAAAUUGCAGUUGAUACUGGAUAUCUUGAGUGCAGUUGAGGCAGGCGGAAUUCGUGGUGUAGCGGUGAAAUGCUUAGAUAUCACGAAGAACUCCGAUUGCGAAGGCAGCCUGCUAAGCUGCAACUGACGUUGAGGCUCGAAAGUGUGGGUAUCAAACAGGAUUAGAUACCCUGGUAGUCCACACGGUAAACGAUGAAUACUCGCUGUUUGCGAUAUACAGCAAGCGGCCAAGCGAAAGCGUUAAGUAUUCCACCUGGGGAGUACGCCGGCAACGGUGAAACUCAAAGGAAUUGACGGGGGCCCGCACAAGCGGAGGAACAUGUGGUUUAAUUCGAUGAUACGCGAGGAACCUUACCCGGGCUUAAAUUGCAGAUGAAUUACGGUGAAAGCCGUAAGCCGCAAGGCAUCUGUGAAGGUGCUGCAUGGUUGUCGUCAGCUCGUGCCGUGAGGUGUCGGCUUAAGUGCCAUAACGAGCGCAACCCUUGUUGUCAGUUACUAACAGGUCAUGCUGAGGACUCUGACAAGACUGCCAUCGUAAGAUGUGAGGAAGGUGGGGAUGACGUCAAAUCAGCACGGCCCUUACGUCCGGGGCUACACACGUGUUACAAUGGGGGGUACAGAGGGCCGCUACCACGCGAGUGGAUGCCAAUCCCAAAAACCUCUCUCAGUUCGGACUGGAGUCUGCAACCCGACUCCACGAAGCUGGAUUCGCUAGUAAUCGCGCAUCAGCCACGGCGCGGUGAAUACGUUCCCGGGCCUUGUACACACCGCCCGUCAAGCCAUGGGAGCCGGGGGUACCUGAAGUGCGUAACCGCGAGGAGCGCCCUAGGGUAAAACUGGUGACUGGGGCUAAGUCGUAACAAGGUA